This 400-nucleotide ribosomal RNA is filed under the name uncultured bacterium. RNAcentral's name for it is "bacterial SSU rRNA". It matches the Rfam family "Bacterial small subunit ribosomal RNA", at positions 355 to 753 of the family's 1533-position model. The record is from RNAcentral.
UGAGGAAUAUUGGACAAUGGAUGAAAAUCUGAUCCAGCCAUGCCGCGUGCAGGAAGGCGGCCCUAUGGGUUGUAAACUGCUUUUGUACGGGAGCAAUAAGGUCUACGAGUAGAUUGAUGAGAGUACUGUACGAAUAAGCAUCGGCUAACUCCGUGCCAGCAGCCGCGGUAAUACGGAGGAUGCGAGCGUUAUCCGGAUUUAUUGGGUUUAAAGGGUGCGUAGGCUGUUAUAUAAGUCAGUGGUAAAAGGUACAGGCUUAACUUGUAUACGCCAUUGAAACUGUAUAGCUAGGAUAUGGAUGAAGUGUGCGGAAUGUGUGGUGUAGCGGUGAAAUGCAUAGAUAUCACACAGAACACCGAUAGCGAAGGCAGCACACUAAGGCAAUAUUGACGCUGAGGCA